This 520-nucleotide ribosomal RNA is filed under the name uncultured Glomus. RNAcentral's name for it is "SSU rRNA". It matches the Rfam family "Eukaryotic small subunit ribosomal RNA", at positions 569 to 1089 of the family's 1831-position model. Lineage: Eukaryota; Fungi; Glomeromycota; Glomeromycetes; Glomerales; Glomeraceae. The record is from RNAcentral.
AGCAGCCGCGGUAAUUCCAGCUCCAAUAGCGUAUAUUAAAGUUGUUGCAGUUAAAAAGCUCGUAGUUGAAUUUCGGGGUUAGCAGGUCGGUCGUGCCAUCGGUAUGAACUGGUCUCGCUGAUCCCUCCCUCUUGACGAACUGUGAUGCCAUUAAUUUGGUGUCGCAGGGAAUCAGGACUGUUACUUUGAAAAAAUUAGAGUGUUUAAAGCAGGCUCACGCUUGAAUACAUUAGCAUGGAAUAAUGAAAUAGGACGUUUGAUCCUAUUUUGUUGGUUUCUAGGAUUGACGUAAUGAUUAAUAGGGAUAGUUGGGGGCAUUAGUAUUCAAUUGUCAGAGGUGAAAUUCUUGGAUUUAUUGAAGACUAACUACUAACGAAAGCAAUUUGCCAAGGAUGUUUUCAUUAAUCAAGUAACGAAAGUUAGGGGAUCGAAGACGAUCAGAUACCGUCGUAGUCUUAACCAUAAACUAUAGCCGACCUAGGGUAUCCGGAAUGAUGUUAAUUUUUUAAUAGUACUCUAU